CCUUAUCAUUCUCCUGUCCGGU
Molecule: microRNA, 22 nt
Filed under: Polistes canadensis
Lineage: Eukaryota; Metazoa; Arthropoda; Insecta; Hymenoptera; Vespidae
Also listed under: 1 other name
Description: pca-miR-184-5p
Gene: pca-miR-184-5p
Source: miRBase by way of RNAcentral